CAGAAAUCGUGCGUCUGUGGGUA
Molecule: non-coding RNA, 23 nt
Filed under: Arabidopsis thaliana (thale cress)
Lineage: Eukaryota; Viridiplantae; Streptophyta; Magnoliopsida; Brassicales; Brassicaceae
Source: RNAcentral